CGCUCUCUGUGUAGUGAAUUAAUAGAGAGUCGGACCUGCCCAGUGACGUAGUGUUAAACGGCCGCGGUACUCUGACCGUGCAAAGGUAGCAUAAUCACUUGCCUUUUAAUUGGAGGCUUGUAUGAAUGGUUUGACGAGAGCUAAGCUGUCUCCUUUUUAAUAUUUAGAAAUUAAUUUAUAAGUGAAGAGGCUUAUAUAUAUUUGAGGGACAAGAAGACCCUAUUGAGUUUAAGUAAAACUAAAAGUGAAUUAUUAUGUUUUAAGUAAUAUGUAGUAAAAGUUGUAUAUAUAGAGGUUAUGCUUUUUUUUAAUCUUUAGUUGGGGCGACUGAGGAGCAUGAGAAGCUUCCUUUGAAGUAGGUUAUGACUAGCGAGUUAAUUUGAUCCAAUUUUUAUUGAUUAAAGGAAAAAAUUACCAUAGGGAUAACAGCGUAAUCUUUUUGGAGAGUUCUUAUCGAAAAAAGGGUUUGCGACCUCGAUGUUGGACUAAGAUAUCCCAGAGGUGUAGAAGUUUCUGAGGGUUGGUCUGUUCGACCAUUAAAAUCUU
This 546-nucleotide ribosomal RNA is filed under the name Minolia sp. LS-2013. Its description in RNAcentral is "partial 16S ribosomal RNA". It matches the Rfam family "Bacterial large subunit ribosomal RNA", at positions 1816 to 2597 of the family's 2925-position model. The record is from RNAcentral. Lineage: Eukaryota; Metazoa; Mollusca; Gastropoda; Trochida; Solariellidae.